This 246-nucleotide ribosomal RNA is filed under the name Triticum aestivum (bread wheat). Its description in RNAcentral is "partial small subunit ribosomal RNA". The record is from RNAcentral. Lineage: Eukaryota; Viridiplantae; Streptophyta; Magnoliopsida; Poales; Poaceae.
AUGGGAGGCGAGGGCGCCAGUUCCAGCGGCGGGGGGUUCCGCGCCCGGAUAGACCACUACCUGUACAGCGGAGAGAAGAAGCACGUCGUCGCAGGCAUCGCCAUCUUCGCUGCCAUUUUCGGGGUGCCCUGGUACCUCAUGACCCGAGGCGCAAAGCAUGACUCCCAUCAAGACUACGUGGAGCGAGCUAACAAGGCGAGGUCGGAUAGGCUUUCUUCUGGACAGCCAUCAUCACUGAAAGAAUGA